CGGGUGGGGAGGGUCUUUUGAAAAACACGCUAUCGGGGCCGGCCUGGUGGUGCAGCAGUUAAGUGCACACAUUCCCCUUCUUGGCAGCUCGGGGUUUGCUGGUUCGGAUCCCGGGUGCAGACAUGGCACCGCUUGGCAGGCCAUGCUGUGGGAGGCGUCCCACAUAUAAUGUAGAGGAAGAUGGGCACGGAUGUUAGCUCAGGGCCAGGUUUCCUCAGCAAAAAAAGAGGAGGACUGGCAGUAGUUACCUCAGGGCUAAUCUUCCUGAAAAAAAAAAACCAAAAACUAUCUGGGACUCACUCCAGAGGAGACGCUAAUUUAAUUGAUCUGGGCUGCGCUGGGUAUGGAUGUAGGUUAAAAAUCUUCCAGAUGAUUCUAAGAAGUAUACCAGGACUGAAUACUGUAACCCUUGCCCUACUUACUGUGAACAGCUGUAAUGAGACUGCAAUUGAGUCAGGAGGGGAAUGAUACUUAGAAAGCUGCACUUACUGGCCCAGGACUUGAAGCAGAAGACUGAGGUUUAAGUGCCUACUCUGCGACAGUUAUGAGGACAAGGAGCAGUGUAGUUUAUCUGGAUCUUAGUUAUUAUAUUUGUAAAACGGUGAUGAAAACAUACACAUCAGCAGGUUUUUGUGAAGACUGGAUUAGAUUAUAUAGUUGAAAGCACUUUGAAUCGCAAAGUGUUACAGAGAAAUAACGAGCAAGGAGGCCCAGCAGAUCAUCUACGGGGAAGCUGAGUUGGUUCAGCUCUGGAACAGGACUGGAGAAUUGAAAGUAGAAGGAAAACAAGAGAGAACCUAGGAAGAAAGAAUGUAGGUCUCACCUGUGACUCCCUGCCGCAGAGGACUGGGAUGCACAGUAGCUCAUCCGUUUCUCCUGCCACAGGUGCUGCCUUUUCCUGCCUUCCUUGAUUUUUUUAUCAUGAUUCUAUUUUCAACAGUUGUUCUUAGUCUGAAACAACUCCUCUGGGUGAAAUUCCUGGCCUGGAGCCUGCAGAGAAGCAAGUGUUGAAGAAUGGAUGUUCCAGCUAUUAGGAUCAUUACACUGCCCUCAAUAACCACAGCUUGAAAUCUCCUGUCACUGAAAUGUUUCCCAGGGGGCUGUUUUAUAUCCAAGUGUUUGGCUGUGUAUGUGCCAGGUGUCAGGAACUGACCCCAAUACUUCUAAUUUCAGGACAAAUAGCACCAGGCAAAGGGGAGUUCAGAUCAUGCCCCUGAGGGCCUCAGGUGCCAGACUAAGGAGUUUAGACUUUAUUCGGUAACCUGUAGAAGUCAUUGGUUUUAAUCUAAGAAGUGAUAGAAAGUGGUGCUCAGAAUAUCAGUCAGGGGACCAGUGUGAUGGAUUAGUCUGGGAUGAGGCUGACAUCAAGAUGACCAGCAUAGAGGUUACUGAAGUAACUCAGGUGUCAGGACUUCAACUAGGGUAGUGGCCAUGGAAGUUGAAAGGAAAUGAUAAGUUCAAGAAAUAUGAUGGAUGAAAAUGGACGACACUUGGCCCUCACAGUUGUCAGGUUCUUUUAGUAAAUACAGGUAGCCCUCAACAACUAAAGAUUAACGUGAGCUACCUGUCUUCUCUCUUGCUAUUGGGUAAUGUCCUACAGUGAAAGCAAGUCUCAGACUUACUGCUACUACACA
Molecule: long non-coding RNA, 1634 nt
Organism: Equus asinus (donkey)
Lineage: Eukaryota; Metazoa; Chordata; Mammalia; Perissodactyla; Equidae
Source: Ensembl